CCUACGGGGGGCAGCAGUGGGGAAUCUUGCGCAAUGGGCGAAAGCCUGACGCAGCGACGCCGCGUGCGGGAUGACGGCCUUCGGGUUGUAAACCGCUGUCGGGAGGGACGAAGCUCUGACGGUACCUCCAAAGGAAGCACCGGCUAACUCUGUGCCAGCAGCCGCGGUAAUACAGAGGGUGCAAGCGUUGUCCGGAAUCACUGGGCGUAAAGGGCGCGUAGGCGGCCUGGUAAGUCGGGGGUGAAACGCUGCGGCUCAACCGCAGCACUGCCUUCGAGACUGUCAGGCUUGAGCACGGUAGAGGCAGGUGGAAUUCCCGGUGUAGCGGUGGAAUGCGUAGAGAUCGGGAAGAACAUCGGUGGCGAAGGCGGCCUGCUGGGCCGUUGCUGACGCUGAGGCGCGACAGCGUGGGGAGCAAACAGGAUUAGAUACCCCAGUAGUC
Molecule: ribosomal RNA, 442 nt
Filed under: uncultured bacterium
Lineage: Bacteria
Description: bacterial SSU rRNA
Rfam family: Bacterial small subunit ribosomal RNA
Source: RNAcentral